RNAcentral lists this ribosomal RNA (492 nucleotides) under uncultured bacterium. Its description in RNAcentral is "partial 16S ribosomal RNA". It matches the Rfam family "Bacterial small subunit ribosomal RNA", at positions 29 to 507 of the family's 1533-position model. The record is from RNAcentral.
AGUGAACGCUGGCGGUAGGCCUAACACAUGCAAGUCGAACGGCAGCACAGUAAGAGCUUGCUCUUACGGGUGGCGAGUGGCGGACGGGUGAGGAAUACAUCGGAAUCUACUUUUUCGUGGGGGAUAACGUAGGGAAACUUACGCUAAUACCGCAUACGACCUACGGGUGAAAGCAGGGGAUCUUCGGACCUUGCGCGAUUGAAUGAGCCGAUGUCGGAUUAGCUAGUUGGCGGGGUAACGGCCCACCAAGGCGACGAUCCGUAGCUGGUCUGAGAGGAUGAUCGGCCACACUGGAACGGAGACACGGUCCAGACUCCUACGGGAGGCAGCAGUGGGGAAUAUUGGACAAUGGGCGCAAGCCUGAUCCAGCCAUACCGCGUGGGUGAAGAAGGCCUUCGGGUUGUAAAGCCCUUUUGUUGGGAAAGAAAAGCAGCAGGUUAAUACCCCGCUGUUCUGACGGUACCCAAAGAAUAAGCACCGGCUAACUUCGUG